GUCCACGCCGUAAACUAUGGAUGCUAGCCGUCGGAUAGCUUGCUAUUCGGUGGCGCAGCUAACGCAUUAAGCAUCCCGCCUGGGGAGUACGGCCGCAAGGUUAAAACUCAAAAGGAAUUGACGGGGGGCCCCGCACAAGCGGUGGAGCAUGUGGUUUAAUUCGACGCAACGCGAAGAACCUUACCAGCUCUUGACAUUCACUGAUCGCCUGGGGAGACCUGGGAUCCUAGCAAUAGGCAGUGGACAGGUGCUGCAUGGCUGUCGU
RNAcentral lists this ribosomal RNA (265 nucleotides) under uncultured bacterium. RNAcentral describes it as "partial 16S ribosomal RNA". It matches the Rfam family "Bacterial small subunit ribosomal RNA", at positions 793 to 1055 of the family's 1533-position model. The record is from RNAcentral.